Molecule: non-coding RNA, 856 nt
Organism: Ictalurus furcatus (blue catfish)
Lineage: Eukaryota; Metazoa; Chordata; Actinopteri; Siluriformes; Ictaluridae
Source: the annotation of a RefSeq genome assembly
CAAUAAGGGUAAAAAAAAUCAGUAUGGAGAGUUUUGCACUCGGUAAGAAGCUGCAUUUUUUUAAAUGAACUUUAUGGUGGUAACUGUAACUCUGCUUCAUCCCACCACCAUGUCACUGCUUAUUUUCCAGUAACAAGAAAUGAAACCAUGGUGUGUUUUAUUCCUUACUUAAUGUGGUCAUAUUCUAGUGUGUUUGCUUAUUCACCUGCAAACAUCUGACAGUCCAUAAACUCAACCAAGCUUCUGAUUAAACAUAAAAUUUAAUGGAACUGAAAGUUAUAUUUAAAAAAAAUAGACAUCGCACAAUAUCCCAAAUAAUUAUAUAUUUAAAAUCACAGAUUAGAAAUUUUUGAGACAUGGAGAGGUUUUCUCAUAGAAGAAGCCAUCAAAUUUCCCCCAAGAUAAGGAGUGUCUCUAUGCAAAUGUCCUUCCCCGAUGUAUAUUUAAGCAAUGAAGACCGGGAGCUUUUAUUUAUUCUGCUUCAACACACACCAUGAUCUCUACAUCCCUACUGCUGCUGCUGCUGGCAGCCGUACACUGUGUUCACUGUGUUGAACUGAUCCAGCCUGGAUCCAUGAUAUUAACCCCUGGUCAGUCAAUGACUCUGACCUGCAAAGUGUCUGGAUAUUCAUUAACUGAUAGCAGCUACUGUACACACUGGAUACGACAACCUGCUGGAAAAGCUCUGGAGUGGGUCGGAUGUAUAUGUGGUGGCGGUAGCACUUACUACAGUGAGAAACUGAAAAGCAGGUUUCAGGUUUCCAGAGACACAUCCAGAAGCACAGUAACAUUAACAGGGCAGAGCAUGCAGAGUGAAGACACAGCUGUGUAUUACUGCGCUCGUGAACCACAGUGA